Molecule: long non-coding RNA, 6322 nt
Organism: Pristis pectinata (smalltooth sawfish)
Lineage: Eukaryota; Metazoa; Chordata; Chondrichthyes; Rhinopristiformes; Pristidae
Exons: 4
Source: RefSeq, a predicted model, not a curated record
UGUCCGGCAAACUGGAAUGAGAAUCCUCAGAUGACUGCGUUUGUGACCUGGUUCCCGCCGAUGUCAAGGGACCUUUUACAUUAGUAGUGCGCACUUUAUAUCUAGUUCAGCAACCGCAGGACCAGAAGCUCUUCGUGCAUGGUGGGCACGCUGGUACAGGUCGAUUAUCGGUCUCCUGGGAAUUCCGACUGUAUUUAUCCAGGACUGCACUGAAUGUCGUCCGGCUACAACAUCACAGCACCGGCAAAGUUUAAGUUUGUCCCUGAACAACUUUGAUCAGUUAUCGUUUGCAGUGACAGCCAACUUUGAUGGUAUCGGAAGGGAAUUUAAUGGGAGAAGGGAGCCCUGACAGUUCCAAAUUAAUGAAGCGAUUUUCGUUGAACCAGAUAAUGAAAAAGCGUCCCUCCCAUCAACCAGAAAAACGUUCCAGGCUGAUUGAUAUUGAGUCCUUUCUGACAGCAACACUCACACCAGUAUGGCCAUCUGAAACGUCGGAGACGUCCCACGGCGGAGGAGGUCCAUAAUUUGACAACAGCUGUCGUGAACAUGGCAGAAGGUGCAGACAAGGGAGGAAAUCCAGUGAUCUCAUCAAGCGGAAAGGUGUUCACCGAGCUCUUGGCAAAUUGGGACGAAUUCAAGCUCUUCCAGUUGACAGACUUCUACCGGGACCGUCUAGAACAGGCGAUGGAAGGAUGAGUGCACGGAGUCAGUCUGGCGUUAACGUACGAGAAGCAGUUCAGUGGAUUGGAACAUCGGAAGGUCACUGAUCUCGCUGAUGAGGGCAAGCGGGCGGAUAGUUCCAAACUCCUCAUGAACCUGGCGAUGGAGAAGGGCUCCGGAGCCCGGAGGGUAAUGUGGGGAACCUUUGUGAAAAUGCGGAAUGGCGUUCCAAAGUUUGACAACAUACUGAAAGAAAUACAGGAACACGGUGAGACAGUAUCAAAGAGGAAUUCAACCUUGGAUUCAACCAUUGCACUGUUUACAACUUUAUACAUUUGAUUUCCUCAAAUUGUUUAAAUUCAAGCAGGUUUUGAUCCAAACGAUCGAGCAAAAAUCGCCCAAGGUUUACACGAGGUUCCCAGUGAGCUGAGAGGUAAGGGAUGAAACGACUGUUUCCAAUAGCACCUUUUAUUGGACUGUUCCACGGCAAACCACAGGGACAUAUGUUGACACUGUAACGCAACAAACGGUAGGACAAAUGAAGACAUCUGUUUAAUGGAGAGGUUUCAAGGGCCAUUGUUAUGAGGGACAAGGCAGAGAGUUGGGCAGCUUCGGGAAAGGGAUCAUACCGCUCUGGGGCUUGUAGCUGCAGAUCCCUCCACCCGAGUCAGAGCGAUUUAAGUCAGGGACGGACAAGAGGGAGAAUCUGGAGAAGGGAGAAACUGAACGAUUUCUUCACGUCCCCCCAAAAACGUCAAACCCCUCCCCACCUCCAUCCUAAACAAUCCUCACCUUGAAUCAUCUUUCUCACCUUGAAUCAUCUCUGAGUAGAAUUUCCUAUGGUCGGGUGUCUGCAUCAUUUCUGGUCAGGGACUAACAGUAACAGCUUCCCCUUACUUAGAAGAGCAUAAAAUACCGCAGGUAAUCUGUUCAAUUCCAAACAAGCAAUGAACUCCACUCUGACAAACUGCAUUCCCUCGGUGCAAACAAUGCCACAGAUAACCAGUUGAAUUUCAACGACAAUAAUCCUAUGAUGUCCACCAAGCGACAGUUAGCGAGGCUGAGGUGGGGGACAAAGUCCUGAGCUCAGCCUACAGUGGCUGGUGCAUGUGAGCUAAUGGUGUGUGAUUGAUAUUGGAGAACUCGAAGAAACGUGAAUUAAUACUGACAAACUGAGAAUUGUGGAGUAGGGCGAGGAAGGUGGAAAGGCUUGCAGAAUUCUGCAAACAGUGCGAUUGAUUAAAUCGCGAUAGUGUCGGGUGGGAAGAUGAUGUGCAUCAGUAAGCAGAAGGAUGCAGCGCAAACGGAGCUUGCUGCAAGUCAGUGCAUGGAUCAAGAAUUGCGAAGGCUUCGUAUUUUCAGAAUGUGAUGGUACAGUCAACUCUACGAGUAACAAAAGAGAGAGCAAGGUUCAAGGUGCAGACAAGGUGCGAUAGGGAAAGGAGGACAGAAACUGCAAAACUUAAUCUUGCAACAGGCCAUGCUUCACCUAACUUACCUGAAGAUUUUGAACGUGAGUACAAAUAAUCCCUGCCAGAACCCGUGUUCAACGAAGUCCAGUUCCUUAUUGAACCAGAAACAUACUGAUCACAAGGUGACAAACGCCACCCCCUCUAUAUCGCUUCUGUUAUUUCCGUCUCAGUCUUUAUUUGGAAAUAGAAGCCGCUCAAUUUCAUUGCAUCGUGGAUUUACUACAUCUCUACAAUUUGCCUGCAUAUUUCUUCUCCAUUCUUCUUCCUGUUGGUGGGCUCAGGAACAAUCUCAGCAGUCUAACCCUCUCUCACAUUGUUUCUAAAUGUGAAACAAAAAUAUUUCUCCUUGAUCAUUGAAGAACCCCCUCUGCCAAGCGCUGCCGUAUUCUCCUGAGUAAAUAUUACUCCCGUCGCUCGUUUCUUACUCUCGCUAUCUUGCUUGAAUGCAGUGAAUGGAUGAAUAUUGAAAAAAACAGUCCCUCCUUUUUUUUAGCCAGGUCACUGUUGCCGCUAUGCCUCUGUCAUCAACUUUGAGAUUUUAUAUAAACAUAAACACUUUUGGCACGGUCAUGAUCCACUUUGCUGGCCGACACGCUCCUGACAAGGUCUUGACACUGUGAUAUAUCUACAUACUUGGCAGGGUACUGAUAUACAGAGAACCCCCACCCCCAAACUCCUAGGAGGGUCCUGGCACACUGCGAAACCCCCUACACUCCUGACAGGGUCCUGAUACGCUGUGAAACGCCAUAAAUUCCUUGAAUAUUCCUGAAGUUAUGAACUCACUUCCUGAACGGCUUCCUGCAUGAUCUUCCUCUCAUAGUAGACAGAAUCUUUGGCCGUAUCUGAUCUGCUUCCCACACCUCUGCUCUCACACCUCUGUAGCCGGACGGACAAGAACAGCAUUUCCACCCCAGGUAACUCUGCAUUCAAUUGAUCAUCCUGCACACUUUCUUCCAGUUCCAACAAGGUCUAAGCAUCAGAUACCCAAUCCCCACCACACCUUCUAGCAUUUCCAAUGGAUUGCUUCCUUCAUAACUCCAGGGUCCGCUCUUCCAUCUCCACCAACCACACCCUAUCUCAUGGCAAUCCCCUGCCUUAACACGGAACUUUGCGAUAUUGCAAGCUGUUUUGACAAAUUAACCUCAUCAACCUCUUUAGCCAGCCACGGAUAGUGCAUGACACGCAUACAACAAAUAAAGGAAAUUUAUUUUAAAUGUGCACGGUGGGAAAUUAAUCCAUGGAUGCAAUUAUUGCCAAUACAUUUCAGUCGUGGGUGUGGCUGAUUUUUCUAAUUAGAAUCUGUGACUACAUCAGGACUGAUAUUCAAGAACAAAAUCCAUCCAAUCGCGAAUUGCUGAAAUUGUAUUCGCAGUAAAGAAUAUAGAAGGAUAACCAUUGUUCGUUGGAAAAGAUCACGAUCCAAAAUGAAUCAGUCCCUGUGGGAAGUGCUUCCACCGGACACUCACUCCCACCUUUCCUUCCCACGGUCAACAAAACGAUGUCUACCUACCCUUUGAUCCCAUUUAUUACCUCCCCGAAACAUCUGUAAUCCAUUCUAGUUCAAUCAUCCUUAAGAAUGAACGAAGCACUUAUUUCGUGUCGUGUUUCACGGUCGAAACGUCUCCUGAUUGUUUUGGAAAUUGUGGGCUUGCUUUGUCCUCUAACGUUGGGACUUUCAUAUAUGACAUUACAAUGACCAGUCUCUCGUUCAAAAACAAUAUACUGAACCCUUUCAGGCUUCCCUCAACCCAAAAUCCCAAAACCUUGCAGAACCCUUCCGAUUCCCCUCUGCAGCUUCUAGUUAACAGGAACCUUUUCUCAUGAUCCAAUGACUGCAGAGUUAAAGGAAAUAUUCCACAGAAAUUCUCUCAAUGCUGAAAUCUGGAAUUUAUCCUGUCUUUUGACAAUCUGUCUCUCCCUGGCCUGCAGCAUCGCAGGUGGCCAGACUGUGUUCCGGCUGCGGUAAUAAAGUGGAGUCUGAGAAGAGAUGGCAGGUUUAUGGAGGAUAUGUCCAAGGUUAGAUCCCUGGAAGCUGAAAGACACGGCUGUCAGUGGAUGUCUGGAAACCUGGGAGGUGGAGGAUGGCUGAAUUGGGGGAGUGCAGGGACCAUGAGCUGUGUCAGGCCGGAGCAGAUUACAGAGACAGAGAGGCUGUUGAGGGUUCUAGUGGUUUAUGAACGGAUAUUAGGAUUUUAAACCAGGACAUUACUAGAGUAGUGGAAAAACCCACAGAAAGGUUUGAGGUUGCUGGCUAAAUAGAACACGUUGAGAAUGAGGGGACGGGCACCAAUGUUGAAGUACCACCAGGCACGUGAUUCCAGCACCAUACACAUUUCCCCCUUCCCUUCCCAUUCACCAGACUGUAGGGACCGUUUCCCCUGUAAUCCCCUUGUUCUCACUUCCAUUAAUAUUGACUCAUCUUCUCACAUUAUCUUACCUGUUCUCACAUCAUCUUACCUUCCCAUCAUUCAGGAAAUAAACAUCUUCCCAGAGAGGCACUUGCACUUCCUACAGUUCAGUGUAAGGUGCUCACAAUGUAGCCUCCUCUACACUGGGGAAAUCAGACUGGGUGACCACUUUGUAGAACGACUUCCCGUUUCUGUUCCCCGUACAGUUGGCGAGGGUGACUCUGAGAUUUCGAUUUCCUUCCACACUAAUCCUUCAACACGCCCUGUCCUGACUUUGGCCUCGCACACGUUCCACACAUCUACUGUGGAGAAAACGAUGGAGGCGAAGGAAAUGAGUGGUGAUGUAUUGGACCACAAGAAUUAGCAGAGUGGAGGUAUUAGAAACCUUAAGUGUAUUAAGGUGGGUAAGUUACCAGGGACUGCCCUGCUGCAUUCUGUGAUCCUGUGGGAAGCUAGGGAAGAAAUUGCUGUGGCUCUUGCAGAGAUUUUUGCUUCAUCUCGGGCUGCACAUGAGAUGAAGAGUGUCUAAUGUGGUAGGAUUAUUUUAAAAAGGAUAGCAAAACCAAGCCAGAAAACUACAGGCCGGUGAGCCUGACAUCGGUGGUGGGUAGAUUUCUGGAUGGGAUUCUGAGGGACAAGAGCUAAUAACAUUUAGAGAGACAGUCCGCACGACUUUGUCUGAGGCAAUUCGUGUUUGGGAAAAUUCUUGUAGUUCUUCGAGGAGUUAACCAAGAGGUACAUAAGGGUAGGGCAGAGGAUGUUAUCUAUAUCGACUUUAGCAAGGCCUCUGACAAGCUUCCUCAAGGCAGUCUAGUCUGGAAGGCGAGGUCGCAUGCGAUCCAGGGAGAUUUAGCUGAUUGAAUUCAAGAUUGUCUCAGUGCUAGGAAGCAGAGAGUGAUGGCCGAGGUUGUAUCUCGGACUGGAGGUCUGUGUCUAGUGGUGUGCGGGGACUUUUGCUGUUUGUAAUUUUAUAUAAAUUUGGAUGUAAAUGUACAAGGCACAGCUAGUAAAUUUGGGGAUGAUAUUAAAAUAGCUGGUGCAGAAGGUCAUAAAAGUUACGGAGAGGUCUUGAUCAGCUAGCGAUUGGCAAAUCGCUUUCAAUCCAGAUAAAUGUGAGGUAUUGCAUUUUGGGAGAUCAAACCAUGGUAGGACCAAUCCAGUGAAUGGUAGGGUCCUAUGGAGUUUUAAAGAAGAGAGGGACCUAGGAGCGCGACUACAUUGUUCGCUGAAAGUGGUGUCUCAGGUAGAUAGGGCGGUUAAGAAGGCGUUUGGCACGCUGGCCUUCAUCACCCGGGGCAUUGAGUAUAGCAGUAAGGAAGUUACGUGGCUGUUAUGAGGCCUCACUUGGAGCAUUGUUCACAGUUUCGGUCACCCUGUUAUAGGAUAGAUAUUAGUAAACCAGAAAGAGUGCAGAAAAGAUGUUGCCUGGUCCUGGGGUCCUGAGAUACAAGGAAAGGUAGCACAGACGAGGACUUUAUUCGCUGGCACCUAGCAGAUUGAGGCGUGACAGGCUGGUUUUCCAACUUCCAGUUCAAAUGAAACUCGUAUCCCAGUAACAUUAACUCUCUGUCUCUCUCUGCCUCUCUCUGUAUCUCUCUGUCUCUCUGUCUCUCAGCGUUUCCCGGAGUAAAUCCAAAUCUGGGAAUACAGCAGUAGUGUCCGGAGUCCCGGGGAUCGGAAAAUCAACAAUGGUGCAGAAGAUUGUUUAUGACUGGGCCACGGGGAAAAUAUUUCAACAUUUCCAAUUUGUCUUCAGUUUCAAAUUCCGGGAUUUAAACACGA